RNAcentral lists this ribosomal RNA (112 nucleotides) under Caerostris darwini. The record is from RNAcentral. Lineage: Eukaryota; Metazoa; Arthropoda; Arachnida; Araneae; Araneidae.
AACGGCCGUACCAUGCUGAAUAUACCGGUUCUCGUUAGAUAACCGAAGUCAAGCAUCAUUGGGCGCGGUCAGUACUUGGGUGGGUGACCAUCUGGGAACACUGCGUGCCGUU